CAGGUUAGGUCAGACAAUGAACUCUUUUUAACAAAAAAAACAGAAAUUCAUACAUUAACAAGAAGAGAAAAGAGAAGAAAAAACGUGAUACUGAUUGCCGAUGACAAAAGAAGACCACACCUUGCAGUAGAUGACUCUUUUGUGUCUAUAAUGACUGAAACUCGUUCGACAUCAUUUAUCGGAAUGAUCAUCCACCAUUGGGAAUCAUUUUUUAGCCAAGACUCUUGGGAUCCGCAUGCAAAAUCAAUCCAUGAUUUGCCCUCAACCCUGUUUCAAGAAGCAGACAUGUUACACAUGAUUCUCCAUAUAUGGAUAGUUUGUAUGUAUCAAGAUUAGGAAGGUUGUCAGUAGCAAAAAGGAUUAUGGAAAGCAUGACUCAUGAAGAAAACAAAGGAAAAGGUUGCAGGAACUGAUGUUGGUGCAAACUUUCCAAGAAAUAUAACUUUUUACAACCGGAUUCAUCCCAAACUCUCCUAGUAGUCUCAAUUAUAUAAGAACCCAACCAACAAGUAGAUCCUGAUCUUUUUUAUGAAGCUAUCUCCCGUUCACAAUAUUAUGACUCGGGCCUGAUGGGCUAACUAGCCUAUCAACUUUGUUUGGUCUAAACCACUGACCAAAAUACUUAAGCUGAAGUUGAUAGUAGGGUGUUACAAUCACCCCCACUUAAAGGCUUGAUGUCCUCGUCAAGGCCUAACAUAACCCAGAUCAAACCCUAGUAUGGUGCAUGUGUUACAAUCACCCCCAAUAUUAUCGUUGGAUAUGGACCAACUAUAAUAUUGUGAUUUCAGAAGUUUUUCUGCAUAGUCAUUCUUCCUCUUCCUCAAAUACUAUAAUAUGGAAUUUUGGUAUAUUUUCAUUUCACUUUCAUAUUGUUUGCACAACUCUUAACUUCACUAGAAGGUAAGUGUUUCGACGAGAAAAUGAAAAAUAAACCAUACACUUACCAUGAACAGCCAGUGUAUAGGAUAAUCGACAGAAGAUUGUCGAGAAUUUAGCAUAAUUCAAAUUUCACGAAGAAGAUUACAAUUUACAUUCAAUAGAUCUGAAUAUUAAAAAAUCAGAUAGAUCAUGUUAUCCAAAAAGAACCACAUAUAUAAAAGAAGCAGGUUAGGUCAGAUAAUGAACUCUUUUUAACAAAAAAAACAGAAAUUCAUACAUUAACAAGAAGAGAAAAGAGAAGAAAAAACGUGAUACUGCUUGCCGACGACAAAAGAAGACCACACCUUGCAGUAGAUGACUCUUUUGUGUCUAUAAUGACUGAAACCCGUUCGACAUCAUUUAUCGGAAUGAUCAUCCACCAUCGGGAAUCAUUUUUUAGCCAAGACUCUUGGGAUCCGCAUGCAAAAUCAAUCCAUGAUUUGCCCUCAACCCU
This 1372-nucleotide long non-coding RNA is filed under the name Musa acuminata (dwarf banana). RNAcentral's name for it is "long non-coding RNA (MACU_LNC010859)". The record is from RNAcentral. Lineage: Eukaryota; Viridiplantae; Streptophyta; Magnoliopsida; Zingiberales; Musaceae.